Molecule: ribosomal RNA, 399 nt
Filed under: uncultured bacterium
Lineage: Bacteria
Description: bacterial SSU rRNA
Rfam family: Bacterial small subunit ribosomal RNA
Source: RNAcentral
AUUUUGCCCAAUGAGCGAAAGCUUGAGGCAGCAACUCCGCGUGAGGGAUGAAGGCUCUCGGGUCGUAAACCUCUUUUCUCAGGGAAGAUCCAAGACGGUACCUGAGUAAUAAGCCACGGCUAACUACGUGCCAGCAGCCGCGGUAAUACGUAGGUGGCAAGCGUUGUCCGGAUUUACUGGGCGUAAAGAGCGCGCAGGCGGCUGGUCAAGUCCGAUGUGAAAGCUCCCGGCUUAACUGGGAAACGGCAUCGGAAACUGAUCGGCUUGAAGGUGGGAGAGGGUAGUGGAAUUCCCGGUGUAGUGGUGAAAUGCGUAGAUAUCGGGAGGAACACCAGUGGCGAAGGCGACUACCUGGCCCACUCUUGACGCUGAGGCGCGAAAGCUAGGGGAGCGAACGGG